This 497-nucleotide ribosomal RNA is filed under the name uncultured bacterium. RNAcentral's name for it is "partial 16S ribosomal RNA". It matches the Rfam family "Bacterial small subunit ribosomal RNA", at positions 28 to 507 of the family's 1533-position model. The record is from RNAcentral.
GAUGAACGCUGGCGGCGUGCCUAAUACAUGCAAGUCGAGCGAACAGAUGAGGAGCUUGCUCCUCUGACGUUAGCGGCGGACGGGUGAGUAACACGUGGAUAACCUACCUAUAAGACUGGGAUAACUUCGGGAAACCGGAGCUAAUACCGGAUAAUAUAUUGAACCGCAUGGUUCAAUAGUGAAAGACGGUUUUGCUGUCACUUAUAGAUGGAUCCGCGCCGCAUUAGCCAGUUGGUAAGGUAACGGCUUACCAAGGCAACGAUGCGUAGCCGACCUGAGAGGGUGAUCGGCCACACUGGAACUGAGACACGGUCCAGACUCCUACGGGAGGCAGCAGUAGGGAAUCGUCCGCAAUGGGCGAAAGCCUGACGGAGCAACGCCGCGUGAGUGAUGAAGGUCUUCGGAUCGUAAAACUCUGUUAUUAGGGAAGAACAAAUGUGUAAGUAACUAUGCACGUCUUGACGGUACCUAAUCAGAAAGCCACGGCUAACUACGUG